This 219-nucleotide unclassified non-coding RNA is filed under the name fungal sp. RNAcentral describes it as "partial contains small subunit ribosomal RNA, internal transcribed spacer 1, and 5.8S ribosomal RNA". The stretch from base 1 to 46 matches the Rfam family "Eukaryotic small subunit ribosomal RNA", at positions 1786 to 1831 of the family's 1831-position model. The record is from RNAcentral. Lineage: Eukaryota; Fungi.
AAGUCGUAACAAGGUUUCCGUAGGUGAACCUGCGGAAGGAUCAUUAAUGAAUGCAAGGAUGCUCUCUUUAGAGGUCCGACCCAAUCAUUUUCCAACCCUGUGCACACACACUGCUUUUUAUACACCAUUUUAAAACUCGUAAAGUCUAUAAGGAUGUAAAAGUCUCUUCAUUGAGCAUUAAAUAAAACAAAACUUUCAGCAACGGAUCUCUUGGCUCUC